AGGGUUUCCCGUAUGGUCGCUCUCCUAAAAGGAGAGAGGAAAGUCCGAACUCCACAGGGCAGAGGGCUACCGAAAGGUAGAUAGGAGUAAUCCUAUGGUUUAGGCAACAGAAAGUAGACUACCUGAUUUGGUAUCCUUUGUUAGUAGGUGGGUUAGCCACCGAAUUGGAUACCAAAUCAGGUACAGGUGAAACGGUAGGGUAAAAGCCUACCACCUGUCGGUGCGAACCGAUAGGUCGGCCUACCCCCUCGGAGCAAUCCCAAAUAGGAGGGCAUUUUAGGGUGGCCCGCCCUAAUGGGAGUAAUCCCUAUGCCCUCGGGUAGGGAGCUGAGAUAAAUGACCAUACAAGACAGAAUUCGGCUUACAGGGAAGUCCUACCA
This 380-nucleotide RNase P RNA is filed under the name Persephonella sp. Its description in RNAcentral is "RNase P RNA component class A". It matches the Rfam family "Bacterial RNase P class A". From Rfam's summary of the family: Ribonuclease P (RNase P) is a ubiquitous endoribonuclease, found in archaea, bacteria and eukarya as well as chloroplasts and mitochondria. Its best characterised activity is the generation of mature 5'-ends of tRNAs by cleaving the 5'-leader elements of precursor-tRNAs. The record is from RNAcentral. Lineage: Bacteria; Pseudomonadati; Aquificota; Aquificia; Aquificales; Hydrogenothermaceae.